This is a long non-coding RNA of Oreochromis aureus, 383 nucleotides long. RefSeq lists it as uncharacterized. Lineage: Eukaryota; Metazoa; Chordata; Actinopteri; Cichliformes; Cichlidae. The transcript is spliced from 3 exons. The record is from RefSeq and is a predicted model, not a curated record.
AGCAGAGGAGUUGGAGACCAAGGUUGAUGCCAUGUCUUUGAUGAAGAUACACUGAUCCUGGUAGAUCCUGCCAAAAGGGGGAGCUGUAUUGCUUUCUCAUCUGCCCAAAUUUGUGGAUAGACAAGCAGCAAAUUAUCUCUAAGUCCCAGCAGCAGUGUGCUGUGAGGUUCCUCCAAGAGCCAGCAUCCAUCUCACUUCAGCCUGCCUGCCUGUCUUCUUCUCUGCUCUCCAGUGACUGCUUUGCUCCUCGCCAAUCCUCGGUAACAAGACAGAUGGAAGUGCCUCAGCAAGACCCCAAAGACGUCAUUAUUUCAAGAUAUAAGCUACACUCUGAGUGAUGCUUUCAGAAAUGAAGACUUUGCUUUGUUACACUGUUGGAUGUG